This 72-nucleotide transfer RNA is filed under the name Monodelphis domestica (gray short-tailed opossum). It matches the Rfam family "tRNA". From Rfam's summary of the family: Transfer RNA (tRNA) molecules are approximately 80 nucleotides in length. The record is from Rfam by way of RNAcentral. Lineage: Eukaryota; Metazoa; Chordata; Mammalia; Didelphimorphia; Didelphidae.
GUAGUGGUGGUUUAGUGGACAGACCAUUGGAUUUAGAAUCAAAAGAUCUAGGUUCAAAUUUUAGCUAUUCUA